Molecule: ribosomal RNA, 492 nt
Filed under: uncultured bacterium
Lineage: Bacteria
Description: partial 16S ribosomal RNA
Rfam family: Bacterial small subunit ribosomal RNA
Source: RNAcentral
AGUGAACGCUGGCGGUAUGCCUAACACAUGCAAGUCGAACGGCAGCACAGUAAGAGCUUGCUCUUACGGGUGUAGAGUGGCGGACGGUUGAGUAAUACAUGGGAAUAUACUUUUUCGUGGGGGAUAACGUAGGGAAACGUACGCGGAUAACGCAUACGUCCUACGUGUGAAAGCAGGCGAUGUUCUGACCUUGCGCUAGUGAAUGAGCCGAUGUCGGAUUAGCUAGAUGGCUGGGUAAAGGCCCACCAAGGCGACGAUCCGUAUCUGGUCUGAGAGGAACAUUCGCCACACUGGCAGUGAGACACGGCAGACACUCCUACACGGAGACGCAGUGGGGAAUAUUGGACGAUGCAGCAAUGCGGGAUAUUGGCAUAUCGGGUGAGUCCAGAAGGAGUUCGGGUUGUAAAGCGAUUUUGUCGGUAAAGAAAAGCAGCACGUUAACACGCCGUUGUUAUGACGGUACCGAAAGAAUAAGCACCGGCUAACUCCGUG